RNAcentral lists this long non-coding RNA (1068 nucleotides) under Homo sapiens (human). RNAcentral describes it as "HSALNT0166268". The record is from RNAcentral. Lineage: Eukaryota; Metazoa; Chordata; Mammalia; Primates; Hominidae.
CUAAAAACAGAAGUCUUUAUCUUUCUAGUUUAAAUUUCUAUAUUUUGAAUGACUGAAAACUACUUGUGGCUUUAAAUGUUCUGUUUGUCCAGGCUGUAUUAACUAAGUUCCAAAAAAUCUCAACCUGGAUACCGCAUUACAUGCUAAUCACAUGCUAAUCCAAAGUCUUUAACAUCACUUGCAAGGCAUAACCUAUUUGGGCUUAUCCCACCAACACAUAUGAAUGCAUCUCCCAUCAUCUCAAACACACAUAUCUCUCCUCAGAUCCAGGCACAGUCCUCCCAGGAGAAGCUACACUUGCACCUUUACUCAUGCCACCCUCCUAUCUGGAAUCCUCCUCAUCACUCGAAAUUUCCCCCAUUUGAUGAAGUCUUUUAAUUUAUUCCUUUGGAUUCCUACAAGGCACUUCUCAUCCAUCCAACCCAUCCACCUACUCAACAGGAGCGCAUUGAAGUCCUAGAGUAUGCAAGAUGCUAUGCUGACUCUAUGGGGUUUCCAUAAAUGUAUAACACACAGGGCCUCCCCUAAAGAGUUUAUAAUUUUGUAAUAAAGUAUAGAAACAGCAAGGUCAUCUGCCCACCUCGGCUUCCCAAAGUGCUGGGAUUACAGGUGGGAGCCACUGCACCCGGUCCAUUGCUUCCUUACCUCCAAGACUAUCCUAAAUUCUCUCCAGAGUUGUUCAUCCACCACUCUAAGAAAAUGGCACAUGUCAGAGUCACCAAUGGCUGAGGCUUUUGACCAACCCCACCUUUGACUUUCUUGACCUCUGCUAUGGUUUGGAUGUGGUUUGUCCUCACUAAAACUUAUGUUGAAGUUUAACUGCCAGUUCAGUUGUAUUGGGAGAUGGGGCCUAGUGGGAGGUGUUUGUCUCAUGGGAGCAAAUCCCUCAUGAAUAGAUUAAUGUCGUGGGUAGGUUCUCACUCUCUUAGGAAUGGAUUAGUUCCUGCAAUAGCAGGUUGUUAUAAAGUGAGAUUACUCCUCCUGCAUGGCCUCUUUGUUUGCAUGUGCUUUCUUCUGCUCUGCAUUCUGCCAUGAGUUAUAGAAGCAUAAGCCCCUCACCAGAUACAG